GGUAAAAUCUAUUGCACCGUGGAGUCCACGGCGCUCUAGUGUCAAAAAGGGCUAUUGCGCCGUGGAUACCAGUUAGCGCUAGUGUAGUCCCGAGUCGUUAUGAAAAAUGAUUGUUUGAUUGAGGUCUCGUGGUGGAGGCCAUGGCUUCAUGAAGGUUCCACAUACUACACAGGAUGACAGGAUAACGAAAAUGUGGUUCCAAUGAACCACUGCAGCACAAAUUCAAAUCUUGUGAAGACUGAAGAGGUGGUAGCUUUUAGUCACUCCAGCACGCUGUCAAGUCAGUACUCCUUAUGAUAAUGUUGCAACAAGCCGUCUACUGUCCCCAAAAACAAGUAAGUAUUUAUCUAAUAAAUAAUAGUAAAUAUCUAAUUCAACAUAGUUAUGCUAAACAGAUGCUGCUAGUUAUUUU
This is a long non-coding RNA of Daphnia magna, 412 nucleotides long. RefSeq lists it as uncharacterized. The record is from RefSeq and is a predicted model, not a curated record. NCBI's taxonomy places the organism in Eukaryota, Metazoa, Arthropoda, Branchiopoda, Diplostraca, Daphniidae. The transcript is spliced from 3 exons.